AAGUCGUAACAAGGUUUCCGUAGGUGAACCUGCGGAAGGAUCAUUAACACAAUUUUACUGUGAUAAAAUCCAUUGGAAUUUUCGAAUUCGAAUGGUAUCCACCCCAUUAUUGACGAACUUUUUUGUCUAGAUGUUUUAAGAAACAUAGAGCUCGUCUUUGCGUUUUUCAAAACAUUCUAAACAACCUUUUUUUAUACCCCAUCACAUUUUUUAACCCCUUUUACAACAUGCCUUAGACUGAAAUGAAAAUUUCUUUAUUAUCAAAACAAUGAUAAAAAAAACAACUUUUAACAACGGAUAUCUUGGCUCUC
RNAcentral lists this unclassified non-coding RNA (311 nucleotides) under fungal sp. Its description in RNAcentral is "partial internal transcribed spacer region". The stretch from base 1 to 46 matches the Rfam family "Eukaryotic small subunit ribosomal RNA", at positions 1786 to 1831 of the family's 1831-position model. Lineage: Eukaryota; Fungi. The record is from RNAcentral.